Molecule: ribosomal RNA, 301 nt
Filed under: uncultured bacterium
Lineage: Bacteria
Description: partial 16S ribosomal RNA
Rfam family: Bacterial small subunit ribosomal RNA
Source: RNAcentral
CAGCAGCCGCGGGAAUACGGAGGGAGCUAGCGUUGUUCGGAAUUACUGGGCGUAAAGCGUGCGUAGGUGGUGGUUUAAGUCCGUUGUGAAAGCCCUGGACUCAACCUGGGAAUUGCAGUGGAUACUGGGUCACUAGAGUGUGGUAGAGGAUAGUGGAAUUUCCGGUGUAGCAGUGAAAUGCGUAGAGAUCGGAAGGAACAUCUGUGGCGAAGGCGACUAUCUGGGCCAACACUGACACUGAGGCACGAAAGCGUGGGGAGCAAACAGGAUUAGAUACCCGCGUAGUCCCUGUCUCUUAUAC